GUCAACUGUUAUUUAGGUUUUCUGGCAUAAGAAGUCAGUCAUCCUGAAGGUCAGGCAUUUCAGUCUGUAAGUCACUGAUGCUAAUCUCCAGAAUAUACUGCGAUACACUAGAUUUCGAAAUGAGGUUCUUCCCAGUCUAUGAAGCUUCAGUGCAAACUGCUGCCCUUCUUCAUUUGCAACAAUGUAAAUAUCUAGAGCACAAAUUGUAAAAACAUCAUUAAGACACUGUUACUACAAUGG
This is a long non-coding RNA of Mesocricetus auratus (golden hamster), 240 nucleotides long. RefSeq lists it as uncharacterized. The transcript is spliced from 2 exons. The record is from RefSeq and is a predicted model, not a curated record. Lineage: Eukaryota; Metazoa; Chordata; Mammalia; Rodentia; Cricetidae.